RNAcentral lists this ribosomal RNA (496 nucleotides) under uncultured bacterium. RNAcentral's name for it is "SSU rRNA". It matches the Rfam family "Bacterial small subunit ribosomal RNA", at positions 26 to 518 of the family's 1533-position model. The record is from RNAcentral.
AGAUUGAACGCUGGCGGCGUGCCUAACACAUGCAAGUCGAGCGGUAACAGGUGUAGCAAUACAUGCUGACGAGCGGCGAACGGGUGAGUAAUACUUUGGAAUCUUCCCAGUAGUGGGGAAUAACCAGUCGAAAGAUUGGCUAAUACCGCAUACGUCUGUAAAGGGAAAGCGGGGGCUCGUAAGACCUCGCGCUAUUGGAUGAGCCAAAGUCGGAUUAGCUAGUUGGUGGGGUAAUGGCCUACCAAGGCGACAAUCCGUAGCUGGUCUGAGAGGACGACCAGCCACACCGGAACUGAGACACGGUCCGGACUCCUACGGGAGGCAGCAGUGGGGAAUAUUGGACAAUGGGGGAAACCCUGAUCCAGCGACGCCGCGUGUGUGAAGAAGGCCUGCGGGUUGUAAGCACUUUUAGUGGGGACAAAAGCUACGGACUAAUAUUCUGUGGUCUUGAUUUAACCCAAAGAAAAGCACCGGCUAACUCUGUGCCAGCAGCCGC